GGCGUCGAUGGUCCGGUGCAGGACGCGGUUGGUCGCGUCGUCCGGCGCGGCGUCGGUGACGACGACCUCGCCGGUCUCCUCGUCGACGACGUUGC
RNAcentral lists this transfer RNA (95 nucleotides) under Phycicoccus sp. DTK01. RNAcentral describes it as "tRNA-Ala". The record is from RNAcentral. Lineage: Bacteria; Bacillati; Actinomycetota; Actinomycetes; Micrococcales; Intrasporangiaceae.